Callithrix jacchus (white-tufted-ear marmoset) is the source of this 99-nucleotide non-coding RNA. The record is from Rfam. NCBI's taxonomy places the organism in Eukaryota, Metazoa, Chordata, Mammalia, Primates, Cebidae.
CCCUCAAGAUGGCUGUGCCUGUCAGCUGCACGGAGCUUCGGUCAAGUAUUAUUUUCUGAGCCUGAUGGAUUUACAGUAAAUAUUCAGUCAUCUAGGGAA